CCCCAGCAGGGACCUCCCCAGCAGGGACCCCCCCAGCAGGGACCCCCCCAGCAGGGAGGUCAGCAGCAGGGACCCUCACAGUAAAGCCAACCUUCUCAACAACCCACAAUUCAAUGUCAGACAGUGAACAAGAAGAUGUUCGGAGGUCAUUUCAUUGGAAGGUGUGGUCACACCGUAUCUUUACUAAGUCAAUAAAACAAUGAGCAUCCA
Long non-coding RNA from Dipodomys spectabilis (banner-tailed kangaroo rat), 210 nucleotides. RefSeq lists it as uncharacterized. The transcript has 2 exons. Lineage: Eukaryota; Metazoa; Chordata; Mammalia; Rodentia; Heteromyidae. The record is from RefSeq and is a predicted model, not a curated record.